Molecule: ribosomal RNA, 255 nt
Filed under: uncultured prokaryote
Description: partial 16S ribosomal RNA
Rfam family: Bacterial small subunit ribosomal RNA
Source: RNAcentral
UACGGAGGAUGCGAGCGUUAUCCGGAUUUAUUGGGUUUAAAGGGUGCGUAGGCGGCCAUUUAAGUCAGCGGUGAAAUUUUGCAGCUUAACUGUAACAGUGCCGUUGAUACUGGGGAGCUAGGAUUUGGUUGCUGUGGGUGGAAUGUGUGGUGUAGCGGUGAAAUGCUUAGAGAUCACACAGAAUAUCGAUUGCGAAGGCAGCUCACAAAGCCAAGAUUGACGCUGAGGCACGAAAGUGUGGGGAGUCAAACAGGA